RNAcentral lists this non-coding RNA (29 nucleotides) under Mus musculus (house mouse). The record is from RNAcentral. Lineage: Eukaryota; Metazoa; Chordata; Mammalia; Rodentia; Muridae.
UUCCAAAGGUGGUUUCUACAGAUUGGUGU